Long non-coding RNA from Seriola aureovittata, 2216 nucleotides. RefSeq lists it as uncharacterized. NCBI's taxonomy places the organism in Eukaryota, Metazoa, Chordata, Actinopteri, Carangiformes, Carangidae. The transcript is spliced from 2 exons. The record is from RefSeq and is a predicted model, not a curated record.
UGUAAAUUUACACAGACAUUAAAUUUCGUUCUAUUCAUUUUAGACAUAUAAUGCUAAGCUGAUUUUUUUUAUAGCACACUGAUCGAUAUCUCUGUAAAAUAAUCAUUUUUUUAACUAGCGGGGCAGUGAAAUCUUUGCUUUGUGCUAAAGUCAACAGUGACAGAGUUUGAGCUCAAAUAAAUGCCGUGAUGUCUGGAGCCCUUUGCAGAAGGCAGAAGGCGAGCUUCUACAAUGGGCUCCUGUGUGGCUUGCCAACAACAAGCACCGGCUAUUUUGCACAGACAUACAUGGAUUUCAUUUGAAGGACACUUUUCCACUGCUGCUUACCGUCUACUUUCAUCACCCCGCAUCAAGCGACCUAAAAGCACUUUCCUGUCGAUGUACUUGGCUAUAUCUACGUCUGACCUGUCUGCCAUAUGUAAUAUCAAAGCCUCUGUCAGCGUGGAGCUGAAUGGGAACAAAAGAGAGACCUCCAUUAAUGAUUAACUGUUCUAAAAGCCCCGGCUUUUGUAUUCCCAUGGUGCCCAGGCUAUCUGGCCACCAUGUGACAUGCUCACAGCAUUUUUCGAGCAGAUUGGGGGAAAGCUAGUGAGCAAACACAGGUGCUUUGGAGCAGCGUUGCCGACGCUGUCAGGGACAACCACAAACAAGAGCAGCUAUGCCUGGCUAAAUGAAUCCCCACCCCUCCCAACACCAUCACCACCUCCACCACCUCCCUCUUCUCUGUCGCUAGCUAACUUGUUUGCUAGCUCCCUAUAGCUUUCUCCCUGCAAAGCCUUCCUUCUGGAGAGUCACCCACGUCUAACCCCCCCCCCCCCCCCAACAACAAGUCCAAUGUCCGCUCCAGCCGCGCUCCACAACUUCUCACACCCUCCAAAGAAACAAACAAAUAAAAGUGAGGACAGCCGACCACUUCUUUGAGGUGAUGGCAUUUGCUGUGGUCAUGACUAGUGGGAGAGCAAACAAAUUAAUGGUGUUCGAGUUUUCACUUUCCAAACCAAACUAAAUGUCUUUUAGUUCAAGUGGGGCAAUUCCACUGACCCUGGUGUCAAAUGCUGUAUAAGGGUUGCACACUCUUGCACUUGAAAUGCCGAGAGGAGGCCAUAAGAAAUUAAACAGGACUUGAGUAGUGGCCUACAUGAGCCUGGUGAGGUGAGAUGCCUCAAAUCGGCAUCUGACAAAUAAUUCUUGAAUAAAUUGUGUGUGUAGUAAACACUGUGCAUACUCAUGGUUUAUUUCUGCUGUCUGUAUUUUGACCACAAACUUUAACAAGAGGUUUGUGGAGCACUUAACCUUUUCAUCCAGGCUGACUGAUAUUUCAGAUUGACUGGGGGUGCUGUGUCGCUCAACUUUGAUAAGACAAUCAGAUGAUAGGAUGGCGUUAUCUUAACAUGGCUUUCCGGCUGGGAGACAAAUGAACAGUGCGCGAUAACAAGAACAAAAGCUUGGCUCUUAUUGGCUGGCUCCUCUGAAGAAAGGAAAAUUAUCAGGGUGGAAAAUUCACAUUAGGUGCAGUUUAUUUCAUUUUCAAUUUUCUACUUAGCAGAGGUCACAGGAACAGCUUUUCUUUCUUUCUUUCUUUUUUCUUUUCUUCUUUUUUUUUUUUUUUUUUAAAUCACUCAAAUAUUUAUAUUGUCUCUUGUUGGCAUUUUGGUUUAACAGUGUGCAAUUACCUGUGACUAUAAAGCAGUUAUCACUGGAAAGAUGAUAAAAAUGUUUUAAAACAAACAAUUUAAAUCAACAGGAGAGGAAAUGAAGUUGUAAAAGUGAGAGAAGGAGAAAGGGAGGCUGACAGGGAGAAAGCAAAAAUAUACACUGUGUGUAUAUGUAUAUAUAUAUAUUACACACACACACACACACACACACACACAUAUAUAUAUAAAGAGAGAAAUUGAAGGAUAGAAAAAUGGAGUGUGUGUAUGAGGGGAAGAGAUAGGAAGAGUGUGAAGGAAGAAGGUCAAAAGUAGUUUCCACAGAGACCUGCUACUGAUCAGUAAAACACCACUUCUGACUUUUGCAGGCUAAUUCUCAGAGUCAGAGAGAGGUGUGUAUACUCAGGGAUUCACUCAGGGCUUUGUUUGCUCUAUUCCACCCCAAAAAAUGAUUGGAAAAUGUAUUGGUGCCCUGGCAUGAAAUGUUAGAACUUUGUCAGAACAAAAGAAAACCUUGCAACUGUGUAAAAAUUGCAUAAAUAAAAUAUUCUCUUUAUAAUAGAA